AUUGAACGCUGGCGGCAUGCCUUACACAUGCAAGUCGAACGGCAGCACGGGAGCAAUCCUGGUGGCGAGUGGCGAACGGGUGAGUAAUAUAUCGGAACGUGCCCAGUCGUGGGGGAUAACGCAGCGAAAGCUGUGCUAAUACCGCAUACGAUCUAAGGAUGAAAGCGGGGGAUCGCAAGACCUCGCGCGAUUGGAGUGGCCGAUAUCAGAUUAGGUAGUUGGUGGGGUAAAAGCCCACCAAGCCGACGAUCUGUAGCUGGUCUGAGAGGACGACCAGCCACACUGGAACUGAGACACGGUCCAGACUCCUACGGGAGGCAGCAGUGGGGAAUUUUGGACAAUGGGCGCAAGCCUGAUCCAGCAAUGCCGCGUGCAGGAUGAAGGCCUUCGGGUUG
This 395-nucleotide ribosomal RNA is filed under the name uncultured bacterium. RNAcentral's name for it is "bacterial SSU rRNA". It matches the Rfam family "Bacterial small subunit ribosomal RNA", at positions 30 to 425 of the family's 1533-position model. The record is from RNAcentral.